This 482-nucleotide ribosomal RNA is filed under the name uncultured bacterium. RNAcentral's name for it is "partial 16S ribosomal RNA". It matches the Rfam family "Bacterial small subunit ribosomal RNA", at positions 30 to 507 of the family's 1533-position model. The record is from RNAcentral.
AUUGAACGCUGGCGGCAUGAUUUACACAUGCAAGUCGAACGGUAACAGGCCGCAGGGUGCUGACGAGUGGCGAACGGGUGCGUAAUGCAUCGGAACGUGCCCAGUCGUGGGGGAUAACUACUCGCAAGAGUAGCUAAUACCUCAUACGAUCUAUGGAUGAAAGCGGGGGACCGUAAGGCCUCGCGCGAUUGGAGCGGCCGAUGUCAGAUUAGGUAGUUGGUGGGGUAAAGGCUCACCAAGCCAACGAUCUGUAGCUGGUCUGAGAGGACGACCAGCCACACUGGGACUGAGACACGGCCCAGACUCCUACGGGAGGCAGCAGUGGGGAAUUUUGGACAAUGGGCGCAAGCCUGAUCCAGCAAUGCCGCGUGCAGGAAGAAGGCCUUCGGGUUGUAAACUGCUUUUGUACGGAACGAAACGGCUCUGGUUAAUACCCGGGGCUAAUGACGGUACCGUAAGAAUAAGCACCGGCUAACUACGUG